CUGGAGGUAUCAGAAGUGCGAAUGCUGACAUAAGUAACGAUAAAGCGGGUGAAAAGCCCGCUCGCCGGAAGACCAAGGGUUCCUGUCCAACGUUAAUCGGGGCAGGGUGAGUCGACCCCUAAGGCGAGGCCGAAAGGCGUAGUCGAUGGGAAACAGGUUAAUAUUCCUGUACUUGGUGUUACUGCGAAGGGGGGACGGAGAAGGCUAUGUUAGCCGGGCGACGGUUGUCCCGGUUUAAGCAUGUAGGCGGAGGUUCCAGGUAAAUCCGGUACCUUUUAACGCUGAGGUGUGAUGACGAGGCACUACGGUGCUGAAGUAACAAAUGCCCUGCUUCCAGGAAAAGCCUCUAAGCAUCAGGUAACACGAAAUCGUACCCCAAACCGACACAGGUGGUCAGGUAGAGAAUACCAAGGCGCUUGAGAGAACUCGGGUGAAGGAACUAGGCAAAAUGGUGCCGUAACUUCGGGAGAAGGCACGCUGACAUGUAGGUGAAGCCCCUGCGGGUGGAGCUGAAGUCAGUCGAAGAUACCAGCUGGCUGCAACUGUUUAUUAAAAACACAGCACUGUGCAAACACGAAAGUGGACGUAUACGGUGUGACGCCUGCCCGGUGCCGGAAG
RNAcentral lists this ribosomal RNA (618 nucleotides) under Pluralibacter gergoviae. Its description in RNAcentral is "partial 23S ribosomal RNA". It matches the Rfam family "Bacterial large subunit ribosomal RNA", at positions 1273 to 1875 of the family's 2925-position model. The record is from RNAcentral. Lineage: Bacteria; Pseudomonadati; Pseudomonadota; Gammaproteobacteria; Enterobacterales; Enterobacteriaceae.